AAGAACAAACCAGCAAUCCUGAGAGGACCCACAGACCCUCUGAAAAAAGCGGACUGUUCCUGCAACACCCAGGAGACACCCCAAAUACUAUGAAGAAUCUGAGGCACAAAGAGGUCAACUGGCUUGCCCAAGGGUACUUGGCAGGUAAGAAUUAGGAUAAUGCUAAGUCUUCUCUUUCUUGGCCAAUAGGUGUACACUGUCCCAUAUGUACUUCCAUGUAUGCCUAUGGAAGAAAAUGUCUACCAAAUUGAUUUUUUUACACAUGUAUUUUAGGUCUCAAAAACAUCUUCUACCAUAUUGGAACAGAAAAAAAUGAAGACAAUGAGCAUAUCCUCUUACACAUGACUUCUAUUGAAAUGUUUCCAAAUCUUAAAUGCUAUAAUAUUUGCUUUGUUCCUUAUCAACUUUUACAAACAAAUCUUUAGAAACUGCUUUACAAAAAUAAUAUAUGUUCCCAUUUAUUUAUAUGUUCAUUGCUUACCUCCAUUCACUAGAAUGUAAGCUCCAUGAUGGGAGAAAUACUGUCAGCAUAUUUUCAUUUCAUUGUAUAUCCUUAAUACUUUGAGUAAUGAAUAGAUGAGUGAAACGUGUAGAAUUUAGUAAGUAUAAAUAUGCAAAAAUAAAACUUUCAAUUUAACGUACCCAUUUUAAAUACCGUAUAUAGUUUUUUUACAAAAAUGUGAUAAUGCUGUUUUGUAAUAAGUUCUUUUUUUAAAUUUUAACAAUAUAAAUGAACAUUUUUGCAUGUCAAUAAAUAUUUGUCUUUUUAAAUGUAUGGGUAACAUUUCCAUAUACAAAUAUGACAUAAUUUAUUUUUUGUUGUUGGGCAUUUACAUUGUUUUCAGUUGCUCUAUAUUAUAGGCAAUGCUUCAGUCUUUGCAUGUAUCCAUAACACUUCUCUUUGGCUACAUUACUAGAAGUAGAGUUUGCAUUUCAUGGAUUUUAAUUACAAGAAUUGCCAAGUUGUCUUCCAGAAAGAUGCUGCUAAUUUGUACAAUAAGCAGCAUUGUAGGAGAGGGUUCAUUUUCCUGAACUUUAACCUCACUAAUAUUUUCUUUCAUUAUAAUUCAUAUUGUUAUUUUAAAAUCUUCACAAAUUUGGUAAAAGUGGGAUCUUCUUUUAUGAUUUGCAUUAAUUUUAUUGCAAAUGAGCUUUUACUGUUUUCUUAUGCUUAUUAUUUAAUUUGUUUUAUUAAUUUUUCUCUUGGUACUCUUUCUUAUUAAGCUAUUAAUAGGACAAAGUAGAAAAUAACUAUUUCUCAAAUUCUUUUGAUUCGUAAGACAUCAAUUAAAAAAAAAAGAAACCCAAACCAGCAUGCCUACUUCAUCCUGUGUUGUGAGACAUGGCUAUGUGUGUCUAGGGUAUUCCAGUUUCCCGAAGCAUAGUAAGUGGAAAGUGACUUGGUAAAACAUAAAAACAGUAAGAUGGAUUAAAGCCAGACAAUGGAAGAGUUAAACUUUAUGCUAAUGAGUUAUGACUUGAAUCAGCAGGCAGUUACUAUGAAAGAAUGUACAAUUUAGCCAUCCCAAGUUGUUAUAUCUUGAUGAGUGAAUAGCUUACUACUUUUGCAGCAAUAUGUAGUUUUUAAAGUAAUUUUUCUGUUAACAGGAAGGGAUAAUUUGGACAGGGUAGUGGGAAAAAGAUCAGCUUAAAGUUUUUCUUACCUUAUCUAAUUUCUCCCACCCAGAAUUAAUGCCACUCUCCUUUCUGUUCCCUUGGUACUUUCUUCCAUUAUAGCACUAGCCACAUGCAAUUGCAGCACGUAACAUCAGUAUUAUUUCUGUAUGCAUCUGUGGUGCCUACUCUAAGGCACAGUCCAAAAGGGCCUUUUCUGUUUUGUGUGUUCCCAUCCUGCUGAAUGGAUGGUUUGGUUCAAUAAAGUCGUAUUAACAUCAGAAGACCGAAUUGCAUUUCUUGUCUUGUUGGCCAGAAAGCUGAUUCCUGUCCAUGAUUACUUGAAAUGUGGAUUUGGUUUAGCUAAUCAUAUCUUUUCUCAUUGUAGUUAACUAGAAAGAAGAAAUUACAGUAACAAGUAAUUGUUUCUUUAUCGUUGUUUAAAAGUUUAUUCUGAUUGAGGGCUGAAGUGCUUUUCUUACUCUGCCUUAUUAAACACCUAAAUUUUCUCUUUCAAAAUGUCAUUUUGUGAAAGGAUCAAGAAUACUACAUAAAUGAUAGAAUCUACUUUAUGGCACUGUGCUUGUAGAAAUGUUAUGCUUAGUUAAAAUUGAGAUACUCUAUAUGGGAGGAGAGCUCAUAUUGAUUUGGGGUAUAUAAUACAAAGUAAAAUGAGAUGAUAGAAAGAAACAAUGCAUAGGAAAGAAAACCUAUUGAUUUCUCUUCUCUUGAGCAUGAACCCACACAUAGCUACUCAAAUAUUUGUGCCUUAUACUAUUGGAAAUACAUAACACAAAAUAAAAUAACAGCCAUUAUAAAUGAUCUAGAAAAGGCUCAUUCUGAGUAACACAGCAAAGAAUUCCUCUUCAUUCAACUGUGUCUAUUUCUGUAAUGUUUUAGAACUUUUUCUCCUAAUGUUAGAACUGAGACAUUAAUAACUAGAUAAAUCAUAUAUGGAAUUAAUUGUGUUCCUUCAGAAGCAGCUGCUGGAUCACACACCCAGAAAUUAAUACUUAGCAGCUUAAAAUUUUACCUUUCCUCCCUUGAUGUGUGACUUUGGGAUUCUUACUUAACCCCAUUGCUUUCUAAUUUGCACAUGUAUUUGCACAUGGUUUUUGCAAAUAAGUGUUGAGAAUUCAAGUUAAAUAUGAGAGAGGGAUUCAAGUUGUGUUCUUUUUUGAGUUUCUGAACUUCCAGGCUUCAAAUUUCAGGCUUCAAGAAAGGUGCUAAGUAUGUCUUCCCUAAAUAUAUUAUUACCUAACAGUGAUUAUCUUCCCUCUGUGUAUUAAAAAGUACAUAGUCUUAGGAUUUUUGUCUUUUUUUAACUGUAUUUCAGAAUGUCCUAGGAUUGAUUUAAAAUGACGCAAAUAAUCUGUAACUUUUUGUUUGAAUAAAGAAUUCAACAUCUUCAUGGUAUUACUGUUGCAUUUGUGUAUAAAGGGAGGAAAAAUGGAAUGCUCAAGGUGCUCUUCUGACUUAAAAAUAUCACGGCUGGGCGCGAUGACUCACGCCGGUAAUCGCAGCACUUUGGGAGGCUGAGGCGGACGGAUCACGAGGUCAGGAGAUCGAGACCAUCAUGGCUAACACAGUGAAACCCCGUCUCUCCUAACAAUAGCGGGGCGUUUUGGCAGGCGCCUGUAGUCCCA
This 3260-nucleotide long non-coding RNA is filed under the name Homo sapiens (human). RNAcentral describes it as "HSALNT0300799". The record is from RNAcentral. Lineage: Eukaryota; Metazoa; Chordata; Mammalia; Primates; Hominidae.